RNAcentral lists this transfer RNA (72 nucleotides) under Camelus bactrianus (Bactrian camel). It matches the Rfam family "tRNA". From Rfam's summary of the family: Transfer RNA (tRNA) molecules are approximately 80 nucleotides in length. Their secondary structure includes four short double-helical elements and three loops (D, anti-codon, and T loops). RNAcentral also lists the same sequence under 1 other name. Lineage: Eukaryota; Metazoa; Chordata; Mammalia; Artiodactyla; Camelidae. The record is from Rfam by way of RNAcentral.
GAGGGUAUAGCUGAGCAGUAGAACACGUGCUUAGCAUGCAUGAAGUCCUGGAUUCAAUCCCCAGUACCUCCA